UACGGAGGGUGCAAGCGUUAUCCGGAUUUAUUGGGUUUAAAGGGUGCGCAGGCGGAAAAAUUAGUCAGUGGUGAAAGGCCGCCGCUUAACGGUGGGACUGCCAUUGAUACUGUUUUUCUUGAGUAUGGUUGAGGUAGGCGGAAUGUGUGGUGUAGCGGUGAAAUGCAUAGAUAUCACACAGAACACCGAUUGCGAAGGCAGCUUACUAAGCCAUUACUGACGCUGAGGCACGAAAGCGUGGGUAGCGAACAGG
This 253-nucleotide ribosomal RNA is filed under the name uncultured bacterium. RNAcentral describes it as "partial 16S ribosomal RNA". It matches the Rfam family "Bacterial small subunit ribosomal RNA", at positions 524 to 776 of the family's 1533-position model. The record is from RNAcentral.